This is a non-coding RNA of Bufo bufo (common toad), 2145 nucleotides long. Lineage: Eukaryota; Metazoa; Chordata; Amphibia; Anura; Bufonidae. The record is from the annotation of a RefSeq genome assembly.
GUCUACAUCCUCUUAUUAAUUUAGAAAAACUCUAUUGUCAGGCCUCCUCUACAGUAUUAUACAGUGACAUUAUAUAUAGGAAUGAGCGAAUUUCAUAUUUGGAAAUUCGUUUUCGGUUCGGGCUGUGGUAUAAUGUGAAUUGCGUUAUGGAUUCCGUUACCACCGACCAUAACGCAAUUACAUGAUGGAAUGCAUAACGGAAUGUGGACAUUAUAUACAUUACAAACAGUGACAUGGCGCACAGUUAGUGUUGGGUAAAGCGAGCGUUGGAUGCUUCAUCCGAAGUCGCUUUGUUCAAAACUUCGGAAUCCGUCUCAGUACAGUAUAAGAAUGUAUGGGCUCCGAUGAGUUAGCUAUUUGUGAAGUCGCGCAUAGCUUCGUUGAAUAACUUCAGUAGUUGAUUUUGAAACCGAACUCGGCUUCUGUUCCGAGAUACUAGUCGUUCGGAUUCAGGUUUUAAAGUGGUUUUUCCACUUUAAAAAGCAACUACCAAAGUUAUUCAAGUCAUGCGCAACUUCGCUCAACACUACACACAGUAUACACGUGUAGGAGAUGGAUGGAUUGGCUGACGGGUCUCGUCUGAGACUAGCCACAGGAGUGGGGGUUGCACAGGAGGAAUGGGGUUGCAUUCAAAAAUUUGCUGUGGGGCCUAGUUAUUUGUAGUUAUGCCACAGAUAGAUAGAUAGAUAGAUAGAUAGAUACUCACCUGCUCUCUUCCGCUUGGUUCCAGUUUCCUGCUGUCUUCAUUGCACUUCCAGUUCCCGUCUGUCAACUUCUUGACACAAUGUGUGCUAUUGAACAAAUCAUCGGGACCAGGUGAGUAAGGAUUUCUCCACAGGUCACAUUGGCUGAGGGGAGUGGUGGGGUGGUGGGGAUCGAUGUAAAAAAACAACAACAACCUGGACAACCCCUUUGAGGUAGGGAUUUGGCACUUUAACAUCAAUGGUUUCCUUAGAAUGACAUUAUAGACCUCCGUUGGUUUUCUCCCAGUGAUAUGUGGCUCAUACUCUGUGGUUUGUGGUGUCUUCUCUGAAUCUACAACCUGUUGAUGAACAUUGUACAGAAGCUUCAAGAUGUCACCAGCCCUGCAGCUUUUGACCCUCUACUGGAGUCUACACUUCAGCCUCGCUGGAGAUGUUCUUCAGCAUCCAUCAUUUCUACCCGUACUUUCCAUGCACAACAUCUCCAUGUCUUGUGAACACGAUGAAACCAGCAAGACCAGAAAAAGUUGGUACAGACAAGAAAAGGGCAAAGGGCUCCUCCUUAUUGGAUACACAGACUAUGGAGAAAAAGCAUCGAUGGAGUCUAGGUUCAGUGAUGAAAGGAUACAGAUCCAACCCAAUGGCAGCCAGAGAUGUAACCUGACCAUCUCUAAGGCUUCUGCUGAAGAUAAUGCAGUUUAUUACUGUGCAAGCAGUGAACACAGCCAAAUAACCAUAUGAAGAAAGUGUAAAAAACUGAGACGCCCCCUCCAAAGACUCAAAGACAGUUUGGAGUGAGUAGGGAUGGGGAACAGCUGUGUGAGGGGCUCUUACUGCUCCUAUUACAGGUGUCAUCCAGUUAUAAGAGUCAACUAUUAAUAAGCAGUCAACAAAGUAUCAAAAAGUAACAUAAAACAUACAAAUGUAUAUACCAUUCACAGACAAAUGGAAGACUAAGAAAUGAACCGGACAGUUAACCAUAUUUUCUGGAUACCUUGUGGUACAUGGUGGAAAGGUAAAAUAUUACAAAAUUAAAUUGACCAUUUUUUUAAAGACUUUUUUUAAUCAAACAGGAAAAGUAAGUUGGUACAUACAGUCCAUACAUUAAAAUGUUUACAGCACAAACCAAACACAAGGUUACUUCCAUUUCAUAUACCUAAUCACAUGAAUCAUCCUUAAUUAUUUAAAAUUAUGCUUCAGACAUAAUGAAGUUUGGUUUUUAUUCUACUUUUUAUAUUUUCAUAGAUUUUUCUAAAACAUAAAAACCUGACAUAUUAGGGACAAUAGCAGGCAAGUAAUAGGCGCUGUCAAUGGACAGCCAUAGGUUGUAUGAUAGAAUUUAUUAUAAUUCUAAUUAGAGAUGAGCGAAUCGAAGCUGACGAAGUGGAAUUCGAUCUAAAAUUCAGGAAAAAUUUGAUUCGCACCGAAGCAGAAUUUCCUCACG